GGAUAGCUCAAUUGGUUAGAAUGUGGUGCUGAUAAUGCCCAGGUUGCAGGUUCGAUCCUCGUCUGCAACA
This 70-nucleotide transfer RNA is filed under the name Podarcis lilfordi (Lilford's wall lizard). RNAcentral describes it as "tRNA.Ile". The record is from RNAcentral. Lineage: Eukaryota; Metazoa; Chordata; Lepidosauria; Squamata; Lacertidae.